GAGCAAGCGGCAGUUAUGGCGCAUGCGCAGCAGCAGGGGUGGCCGCAGGUCGCCGUUCAAUAAUACGUAAUUCAAGGGAUUUGUACAGCCCUAUAGGAGACACCUCCAGAGAAAGUAACAACUCUCAGUUGAUUAGCUGAGGUAUGUAUGUCAUUUAUGGCAAUACCUGUCUCCAUCCCCUCCGUCUUCUUCUAGGAGACCAAUUUUGUAAAUUGCUACUUUUCUAACAACAGUGGCACAGGUGGCCCAGCAUUCUCCCUUUUCUCAGAGCUGGUUUUCCAUCCUGGAAAGAGGUCUUACAUAUACAAAGUUACUCUAAUCAGUUGU
This 327-nucleotide long non-coding RNA is filed under the name Pongo abelii (Sumatran orangutan). RNAcentral's name for it is "lincRNA". The record is from RNAcentral. Lineage: Eukaryota; Metazoa; Chordata; Mammalia; Primates; Hominidae.